Long non-coding RNA from Oreochromis niloticus (Nile tilapia), 1763 nucleotides. RefSeq lists it as uncharacterized. The record is from RefSeq and is a predicted model, not a curated record. The transcript has 3 exons. Lineage: Eukaryota; Metazoa; Chordata; Actinopteri; Cichliformes; Cichlidae.
AUGCAACGUUCGUUUCACUUGCGUUUAGAUGGGCCACCACAAGGGGCUGUAGACUGCUUGACUAUAGACAGUAUAUGAUAUGCUACACGACAGAUUUAACACAAAAUGCAGAAAUCGACAGCGGCAGCAUCGAAAAGGUGGAUUUUAAGGUCACAUAGUGGAGUGUGAUCGCAAAGCAGAGCUGGCAGAAGCCUCAGUCCACUCACCUGUUCAACAAAGCUCUACGUCACCAGGCCUGGCGCCAGGUAAACAAUUACUGCAGUUAAAUGACACCUGCCAUGGAUUCCCCCUCAGCUUGCUCAUGUGAAAGCAGCAUUGACCUGGCCUAAGAUUAACAGCUGCUAGCUUUCAGUGCCAGCUACAGUUUCACGCAGUGUCUCUCUUCUAAACCAAUCCAAGUGUGGCAUAAAGUCCUGGACAAAUUGUGAUGCCAGAACUCCUGCUUUGCAUUAAAAAUGAUUUAAAACCAUAAAUACAGACACGGAAGAUUUACGCAAGGCCACCAUGCGUAAAAGAAAUUGCACAAUGUCCAGAGACUAAAGAGUGAAACAUGUUUCUGAAAUGACAGCAACGUACAAAGUACAUGAAAAUCAAGAACCUGCCAAGUGGUCCACUCUAUUAUUUAUUCAGUUCUUUGGUUCUGACUUUUUUCUUUCUUUUUUUUCCUGACACUAUCCAAGUCACAUGUAAAGCAUUUUUAAACUCUGUAUGAGCUCAGACUCUGAUUUAAAAUAAAAUAAAGCACAGAAAGGGAACAUUAACAUCUUACCAAUAUGUAUACAUUCCUAAUACAAACAGUGAUUUUUUAUUUUCAUUACUCUGAUAGCAUAAGCAUGAGUGGGAAAACAAGCCUUUAUUGGCUAUUAUAUUGCAGCAUGAUGUGUCGUGUGAACUUAAAGAAUAUGAGGAAACUGGACAGCUAGUGGUGGAAAAUUGAUUGACCUGAGGACAGAGGAGUCGAGGUAUUAAACAAGAAAACAUCUUCUUGUUUCAGAGCGGUCUUUUUAAAGUGAUCAAAUAAAUAUAGUAGGCCCGGCUGUGCCUGUGUUUAGCCCAUGUUUCCUGUUUGCUGUAGCUAACAAAUGGUAGCAGGUGCAUUAGCACACUAAAAGUGCCAGUUUUUCAGUACCAUAUAUACAAUGAUAACCAGCGCUAUGUUUUUUAAGCAUUCUUUGUACAUGAAGUAUCUAAAGCUUUCGGACAGCUGGGAUGCACUACAGAGAUGUGGUGGAGUAGAAACUUUUCACAAAAUAGAAAUAUUGUUUUACAAACUCCUCUAAUAGUCAGGAGAGCUGCAUGAGGCCAUAAAGGUGCUUUUUAUUUUUGAAAGUUCUGAAGAGAAAGAACUAAUUUAACAUUGUGUGAGAGGAUUAUUUAAAGAAGAAGUGAUGGUUGAGUAUCAGACUGAAGGCAGACACGAGUGUCUGGUUUCUCUCUCUCUUCCUCUCACCUCAUCUAUGAGACAAACACUGCACCCUCGGAUGAUCCCUCCCGAUGUGAUAUUUAUUUCUCUCCAGAUGAAAGUCAUGAGAGAGUUGAUCACCUUACACUGAGCUUAGGUCUGCCUUAAAGAUCGCACUGUCUGCAGCGUCCCUGUGAGUGAUAAGUAAUCAAAGCAAGCAGUAGCUAUUAGUAAGCUGAUAAUGGAGUGUAAUAGCAGUAAUCAUGAUGGUUAUUUUUAAAGAGAUGUCAAUCCUGUGUUACACCGGUGCUGGGUGAUAUAACUCCAGGUCAGACUGAGGCCGCAGGCUCAGCCAGUAACG